Molecule: ribosomal RNA, 1472 nt
Filed under: metagenome
Description: bacterial SSU rRNA
Rfam family: Bacterial small subunit ribosomal RNA
Source: RNAcentral
AGCCGAUGAUCGAUCUUUCGGGAGAGUGAUUCGGUGGAAAGUGGCGAAAGGGUGAGUAACGCGUGGGUAAGCUAUCUUGAAGUUCGGGACAACCCGCCGAAAGGCAGGCUAAUACCGAAUGUGGUCUUUGGAUGCAUAUCCGGAUGAUUAAAGGUGGGGCUCCUUUGGGACCUGCCGCUUUUAGAGGUGCCCGCGUGCCAUCAGCUUGUUGGUAGGGUAACGGCCUACCAAGGCUUACGGCUAGCCGGCCUGAGAGGGUGACCGGCCACACUGGGACUGAGACACUGCCCAGACUCCUACGGGAGGCUGCAGUCGAGGAUCAUUCGCAAUGCGCGAAAGCGUGACGAUGCGACGCUGCGUGGAGGAUGAAGGCCUUCGGGUCGUAAACUCCUGUCAUGAGGGAAAAGCAAUUUCACCCCGAAUACGGGUGGAAUCCGAUGGUACCUCAAGAGGAAGCCACGGCUAACUCUGUGCCAGCAGCCGCGGUAAUACAGAGGUGGCGAGCGUUGUUCGGAUUUACUGGGCGUAAAGGGUGCGUAGGUGGUUUUGUAUGUCGGAUGUGAAAGCCCAUGGCUCAACUGUGGAAUUGCAUUCGAAACUGCGGAACUAGAGUGCAGGGUGGGAGAGCGGAAUUCUUGGUGUAGCGGUGAAAUGCGUUGAUAUCAAGAAGAACACCGGUGGCGAAGGCGGCUCUCUGGAAUGUCACUGACACUGAGGCACGAAAGCUGGGGGAGCAAACAGGAUUAGAUACCCUGGUAGUCCCAGCCGUAAACGGUGCACACUUGGUGUGGGGAGAUUUAACCCUCUCCGUGCCGGAGCUAACGCGUUAAGUGUGCCGCCUGGGGAGUACGGCCGCAAGGCUAAACUCAAAGAAAUUGACGGGGGCCCGCACAAGCGGAGGAGCAUGUGGCUUAAUUCGAUGCAACGCGAAGAACCUUACCAGGGCUUGACAUAUACCUGCACGCCCCUCGAAAGGGGGGAAGCCUUUGAGGGUGGUAUACAGGUGCUGCAUGGCUGUCGUCAGUUCGUGCUGUGAGGUGUUGGGUUAAGUCCCGUAACGAACGCAACCCUUGUGGUUAGUUGCCACCGGCGGUGAUGAGCCGCCGAGCACUCUAGCCAGACUGCCCGUACAAGCGGGAGGAAGGUGGGGAUGACGUCAAGUCAGUAUGGCCCUUACGCCCUGGGCUGCACACGUGCUACAAUGGGCGGUACAAUGGGAAGCAAUACCGCGAGGUGGAGCAAAUCCCCAAAGCCGCCCCCAGUUCGGAUUGAAGUCUGCAACUCGACUUCAUGAAGUUGGAUUCGCUAGUAACGGCGCAUCAGCUACGGCGCCGUGAAUACGUUCCCGGGCCUUGUACACACCGCCCGUCACAUCAUGAAAGCCGUCUGCACCCGAAGUCGCUGAUCCAACCCGCAAGGGAGGAAGGUGCCGAAGGUGUGGGUGGUGAUUGGGAUGAAGUCGGAACAAGGUA